This 483-nucleotide ribosomal RNA is filed under the name uncultured bacterium. Its description in RNAcentral is "partial 16S ribosomal RNA". It matches the Rfam family "Bacterial small subunit ribosomal RNA", at positions 30 to 506 of the family's 1533-position model. The record is from RNAcentral.
AUUGAACGCUGGCGGCAGGCCUAACACAUGCAAGUCGAGCGGAUGAAGGGAGCUUGCUCCUGGAUUCAGCGGCGGACGGGUGAGUAAUGCCUAGGAAUCUGCCUGGUAGUGGGGGAUAACGUCCGGAAACGGGCGCUAAUACCGCAUACGUCCUGAGGGAGAAAGUGGGGGAUCUUCGGACCUCACGCUAUCAGAUGAGCCUAGGUCGGAUUAGCUAGUUGGUGGGGUAAAGGCCUACCAAGGCGACGAUCCGUAACUGGUCUGAGAGGAUGAUCAGUCACACUGGAACUGAGACACGGUCCAGACUCCUACGGGAGGCAGCAGUGGGGAAUAUUGGACAAUGGGCGAAAGCCUGAUCCAGCCAUGCCGCGUGUGUGAAGAAGGUCUGCGGAUGGUAAAGCACUUUAAGUUGGGAGGAAGGGCAGUAAGUUAAUACCUGGCUGUUUGGACGUUACCAACAGAAUAAGCACCGGCUAACUUCGU